UGGGGAAUAUUGGACAAUGGGCGAAAGCCUGAUCCAGCCAUGCCGCGUGUGUGAAGAAGGUCUUCGGAUUGUAAAGCACUUUAAGUUGGGAGGAAGGGCAGUAAGCGAAUACCUUGCUGUUUUGACGUUACCGACAGAAUAAGCACCGGCUAACUCUGUGCCAGCAGCCGCGGUAAUACAGAGGGUGCAAGCGUUAAUCGGAAUUACUGGGCGUAAAGCGCGCGUAGGUGGUUCGUUAAGUUGAAUGUGAAAGCCCCGGGCUCAACCUGGGAACUGCAUCCAAAACUGGCGAGCUAGAGUAGGGCAGAUGGUGGUGGAAUUUCCUGUGUAGCGGUGAAAUGCGUAGAUAUAGGAAGGAACACCAGUGGCGAAGGCGACCACCUGGGCUCAUACUGACACUGAGGUGCGAAAGCGUGGGGAGCAAACAGG
Molecule: ribosomal RNA, 429 nt
Filed under: Pseudomonadota bacterium
Lineage: Bacteria; Pseudomonadati; Pseudomonadota
Description: Proteobacteria bacterium partial 16S ribosomal RNA
Rfam family: Bacterial small subunit ribosomal RNA
Source: RNAcentral